RNAcentral lists this ribosomal RNA (649 nucleotides) under uncultured bacterium. Its description in RNAcentral is "bacterial SSU rRNA". It matches the Rfam family "Bacterial small subunit ribosomal RNA", at positions 1 to 666 of the family's 1533-position model. The record is from RNAcentral.
UAGAGUUUGAUCAUGGCUCAGGAUCGAUGCUGGCGGCGUGCUUAACACAUGCAAGUCGAACGGACUCCUAUUGAAACCUAGUGAUUUAUGAGUUAGUGGCGGACGGGUGAGUAACGCGUGGGUAACCUGCCGUAUACCGGGGGAUAACACUUAGAAAUAGGUGCUAAUACCGCAUAAGCGCACGGCUCCGCAUGGGGCAGUGUGAAAAACUCCGGUGGUAUACGAUGGAUCCGCGUCUGAUUAGCUAGUUGGCGGGGUAACGGCCCACCAAGGCAGCGAUCAGUAGCCGGCCUGAGAGGGUGGACGGCCACAUUGGGACUGAGACACGGUCCAAACUCCUAACGGGAGGCAGCAUGGGGGAAUAUUGCACAAUGGGGGAAACCCUGAUGCAGCGACGCCGCGUGAGUGAAGAAGUAUCUCGGUACGUAAAGCUCUAUCAGCAGGGAAGAAAAUGACGGUACCUGACCAAGAAGCCCCGGCUAACUACGUGCCAGCAGCCGCGGUAAUACGUAGGGGGCAAGCGUUAUCCGGAUUUACUGGGUGUAAAGGGAGCGUAGACGGCAGCACAAGUCUGGAGUGAAAUCCCGGGGCUUAACCCCGGAACUGCUUUGGAAACUGUGCGGCUGGAGUGCAGGAGGGGUAAGCGGAA